This 264-nucleotide ribosomal RNA is filed under the name uncultured bacterium. RNAcentral's name for it is "partial 16S ribosomal RNA". It matches the Rfam family "Bacterial small subunit ribosomal RNA", at positions 89 to 354 of the family's 1533-position model. The record is from RNAcentral.
UGGCGACCGGCGCACGGGUGCGUAACGCGUAUGCAACCUACCUGUAACAGGGGGAUAACACUGAGAAAUCGGUACUAAUACCGCAUAACACUAUGAGAGGCAUCUCUUGUGGUUGAAAGUUUCGGCGGUUACAGAUGGGCAUGCGUUGUACUAGCUGGUUGGUAAGGUAACGGCUUACCAAGGCGACGAUACAUAGGGGGACUGAGAGGUUAACCCCCCACAUUGGUACUGAGACACGGACCAAACUCCUACGGAAGGCAGCAG